CAAUCAAACCGGGAGAUAGCUGGUUCUCCCCGAAAGCUAUUUAGGUAGCGCCUCGUGAAUUCAUCUCCGGGGGUAGAGCACUGUUUCGGCUAGGGGGCCAUCCCGGCUUACCAACCCGAUGCAAACUGCGAAUACCGGAGAAUGUUAUCACGGGAGACACACGGCGGGUGCUAACGUCCGUCGUGAAGAGGGAAACAACCCAGACCGCCAGCUAAGGUCCCAAAGUCAUGGUUAAGUGGGAAACGAUGUGGGAAGGCCCAGACAGCCAGGAUGUUGGCUUAGAAGCAGCCAUCAUUUAAAGAAAGCGUAAUAGCUCACUGGUCGAGUCGGCCUGCGCGGAAGAUGUAACGGGGCUAAACCAUGCACCGAAGCUGCGGCAGCGAACGUAUCACCCAAGACAACUUUACGGAGUUGACGAUUGACGGAGCGAAGCGACGUCAAAGCGUUCAUUAAAGUCGAGUUGGCUUAGGGAUACGUUCGUUGGGUAGGGGAGCGUUCUGUAAGCCUGUGAAGGUGUGUCGUGAGGCAUGCUGGAGGUAUCAGAAGUGCGAAUGCUGACAUAAGUAACGAUAAAGCGGGUGAAAAGCCCGCUCGCCGGAAGACCAAGGGUUCCUGUCCAACGUUAAUCGGGGCAGGGUGAGUCGACCCCUAAGGCGAGGCCGAAAGGCGUAGUCGAUGGGAAACGGGUUAAUAUUCCCGUACUUGGUGUUACUGCGAAGGGGGGACGGAGAAGGCUAUGUUGGCCGGGCGACGGUUGUCCCGGUUUAAGCGUGUAGGUGUGUGUUCCAGGUAAAUCCGGUUCACUUUAACACUGAGGCGUGACGACGAGGCACUACGGUGCUGAAGCAACAAAUGCCCUGCUUCCAGGAAAAGCCUCUAAGCAUCAGGUAACAUCAAAUCGU
RNAcentral lists this ribosomal RNA (902 nucleotides) under Salmonella enterica subsp. enterica serovar Typhimurium. RNAcentral's name for it is "partial 23S ribosomal RNA". It matches the Rfam family "Bacterial large subunit ribosomal RNA", at positions 830 to 1645 of the family's 2925-position model. Lineage: Bacteria; Pseudomonadati; Pseudomonadota; Gammaproteobacteria; Enterobacterales; Enterobacteriaceae. The record is from RNAcentral.